Molecule: ribosomal RNA, 275 nt
Filed under: uncultured prokaryote
Description: partial 16S ribosomal RNA
Rfam family: Bacterial small subunit ribosomal RNA
Source: RNAcentral
UACGUAGGGGUCGAGCGUUGUCCGGAGUUAUUGGGCGUAAAGAGCUCGUAGGCGGUUUGUCGCGUCGUCUGUGAAAUCCUCCAGCUUAACUGGGGGCGUGCAGGCGAUACGGGCAGACUUGAGUACUACAGGGGAGACUGGAAUUCCUGGUGUAGCGGUGAAAUGCGCAGAUAUCAGGAGGAACACCGGUGGCGAAGGCGGGUCUCUGGGUAGUAACUGACGCUGAGGAGCGAAAGCAUGGGUAGCGAACAGGAUUAGAUACCCGGGUAGUCCCU